GCCCCCACUAAUACAUGACUAAUUGUUAACUUGAAUUACACACAAAAUAGGCUGACAUAUCAGCCAUUACAUCAGACCAAAUCCUACUAACUUUGUUGAACAAAAUACAAGUAAACUAAGCAAAGUUACAUAGGAACAAAAUGAUCAAAGCAGCUGUUGCAUUCGGUUCUGCUUCAAUGCUGCACUUCAAGCUGCUUUGCUGUUGCUGGUCUUCUUGUGAACUUGCUGCUUGUCCCAAGGCCAAAGUCUAACACAAACAGAACUGGCUGCUCGUAUUAGCCAUGGUAAC
This 289-nucleotide long non-coding RNA is filed under the name Gossypium barbadense (sea-island cotton). RNAcentral describes it as "long non-coding RNA (GBAR_LNC013868)". The record is from RNAcentral. Lineage: Eukaryota; Viridiplantae; Streptophyta; Magnoliopsida; Malvales; Malvaceae.